CCAGACUCCAGAUCACUGGACAAGAUCAGCUCUCUGCAGCAACCUCUGCCACUGUGGAGCUUUCAGAACGCGUGAGCAAGGGGUGCGAUACGGGAUCCCGGCUUUCAGGUUGCUGGUGGUCAGAAUACUGACAACGCCAUCCCGACAGUAAGAAUCCUGACAGUUCUUCAUAAUGAAGGAGACAAGGCCAAUCGUAUCUUCACUCACCUGUCCCACAAAUUUUACUUGGAAGCAUGUGGGAUGCGGGAGGAUGGCCCGCACUCCUGGGAGCCAACGACUUCCCAAAAAUCAGUAGAUUCCUGUACAUUCCGGGACGGUCGGCAAAUCAAUAUUGGAGUAAAGAUACGUAUUCACACUUUGGGAUGCCUAUCUCCCGGUAUUAGGGAUGGACUGGCCCGGAAUAUAAAGUACGGCUAAGAUAGGGUGAGGAGAUAUGGCAUCAGAAAAUCCCAUCAAUGGUAAAGUGAUUUUCUCCAUGGAUAUAAUUAAUGUCAAGUUUUGAAGUAAAAACUGUAUUAUUUGAAAUAAGAUCAUCAUCGUAAGGAUUUUUAUGGUGGAACGCAUGCUGUACUUCCUGGUGGGCGGAAUGAAUAACAACAGAUAUGUUACAAAAUGGCCGCUAGAUGGAACGCACCGGUGGAACGCACGCAUCAUUUCCGGAUUCCGAAAGCGGAAGUUAAUACCCGCUUUUUAUCUUUGAGUGCACGUUUCAUGCUAACUCUGGCAUAACUGUAUAUUUCAAUAGACUGAAUACCCGGGACAGCCUAUAUUAUGCUGGUUAUGAUGUUUUAUAAUGUACAGCUAUAGAGGUCAUUUUUGAUGAAACGCAACCGGAAGUUGAAAAUGAAACGCACGUGUCACUUCCGGUUGGGGAACCCGGAAGUCAGAGUAGCUUAAUUGGCUUAUUGCACUAAUUAGUAAGGGUAUAAAUAUUUGGCUGUUGAAGAUCCAUGUCAUCCAAGCUUAAAAAAGGAGAGUUUCUCCGAAACGCGUCGUUUGGAAGACAUGGAUACCCUUAUGUGAUGCACUGCUGGAUUCCCUACUCAGCCUCCUAAAAGAAAAAAGUUUUUUGCGGUGGUGCUCUACCAACUCCACCGGGAUUUGAUUGCUUUUUGUUGAAAAAGCCAUCUGCCCACCGCAAAUCACUAAGAGAGUGAGAAAUUUUUGGGAU
Pseudophryne corroboree (corroboree frog) is the source of this 1171-nucleotide long non-coding RNA. RefSeq lists it as uncharacterized. The transcript has 4 exons. The record is from RefSeq and is a predicted model, not a curated record. NCBI's taxonomy places the organism in Eukaryota, Metazoa, Chordata, Amphibia, Anura, Myobatrachidae.